This 1323-nucleotide ribosomal RNA is filed under the name Lysmata amboinensis (scarlet cleaner shrimp). Its description in RNAcentral is "16S ribosomal RNA". The stretch from base 619 to 1323 matches the Rfam family "Archaeal large subunit ribosomal RNA", at positions 1423 to 2809 of the family's 2987-position model. The record is from RNAcentral. Lineage: Eukaryota; Metazoa; Arthropoda; Malacostraca; Decapoda; Hippolytidae.
AUAAUUAAGCUUAUUUGUGUGGGUUGUUGUUAGUUAUGAAAAAUGAAAGAUCAUCAAGGAUAAGAGAAUUAGUAACGAUAAAAAAGUUUAGUUUAAAUUAUAGUGUACGAUUAUCGUAAGAGAAAGUUUAAAGAUAAAGAAAAAGAAGGGUUAAGCCAUCGUACCUUUUGUAUCAGGGGCUAUCUAAAUUAGUUUAAUAGUAAAAAAGUUCUCGAAUUAAGAGGAUCUAAAGCUAUAUUACUUUACAUGUGUUAUAAUGUUGUUAAAUGUAGUUUUAGUGGUGAUACGCCAUACGACUUUUAUAUAUCUGGUUCUCUACGAAAAAAAUUUAAUUUUGUAAUUAACCCAAACUGUAGGUUAAUUGGUUAAACUGUGGGGCAUGAGCUCAGCAGUAAUUGAAGUAUUAAGAUAAGUGUUAACGAAUGGAUUUUUACUGGGCUUAGAAUCAGCCGUGUUAAAGAUGACGUUAUAGUGAGUAAUAUCAGAUUAAUUAAAUUUAAGUUAUCUUAUAGAAUGUUAGUAGGGUAUGUUUUAUAAUUAAAAAAAAUAAAGAAAUAAUGGUAGUAUUAGUAGAGCGACUUGUGGAAGAUUUAAGUUCAAGGUAAAAGGUGAGAAAAAAUUAAGUGGUUGGUGUUUUGAAGGAACUCGGCAAAUCUAAGCUUCUGCCUGUUUAACAAAAACAUGUCUGUGUGAAAUUUAUACAUAGUCUGGCCUGCCCACUGGGGUUCUGAAGGGCCGCGGUAUACUGACCGUGCGAAGGUAGCAUAAUCAAUAGUUCUUUAAUUGAGGACUGGAAUGAAGGGUCGGACGAGAAGUUAGCUGUCUCCAAGACAAGUCUUGAAGUUUACUUUUAAGUGAAAAGGCUUAAAUGAGAUAAAGGGACGAUAAGACCCUAUAAAACUUUACAGUUUAUGUCUAGAAUUUGUUUAAAUUUGCGUGUAAAUCUGUUUUGGUAAAGCUGUUUUAUUGGGGCGAUAAGAAUAUAAUCGAUUAACUGUUCUUAGUUAUGAAAAUAGGUAUAAUUAGUUAAUUUGAUCCUUUAAUAAGGAUUAGAAGAUUAAGUUACUUUAGGGAUAACAGCGUAAUUUCUCUUGAGAGUUCUAAUCGACAGAGUUAGUUGCGACCUCGAUGUUGAAUUAAGGUGUUAGCUAGGCGCAGAAGCUUAGAUAGUAGGUCUGUUCGACCUUUAAAACCUUACGUGAUUUGAGUUCAAACCGGUGUAAGCCAGGUUGGUUUCUAUCUUUUAUUUAUAGUAUAAAUUUCUUUAGUACGAAAGGAUUAAGAAGUUACAAAAUUUGUUUACCAAUUGAUGGAUAAUAAUAU